UGGUUUCCAUAUGUUUUGNUUGUUAAUUGUUGGGUUCUCAUCUGUGCUUAAUGCUUUUAUCGUUUAACUCAUUCGAUAAUUGUUGUUUGUCUUUAUUAAUACGGGGACGUACAGUAUUGUCAUGAACUGGUGAGUAAUUCCUUGAUUAAGCAAUACCACCUAAGGAUAAGGGUAGGACGAUCAAUUGUUUUUAACUUCUGCUCUAUAAUGCUUUAUUAUUUGCUAGGGGAGGCUAGGGAUAGCAAGCAGUAAUUAGUAAUAGGCUCUUUUCGCCGAGAGAUCGGGUUAAGGGUAGGCUAAGAAAGUUGCAUGACAAUUAAUUAAUCAAGCUAAUAAUUCAAGAGGAGAAAAUAAGAGAGAGCGGAUAAGAUGAAAUUGUAAACCCCCAACAACUCCAUUCAUCCAUUGUUUUCUUCUUGUCAAUUGAAUCAAUCUCUUUUGCAUGUUUAUAUUUUAUUCACACAUCCAAUUAAUUAAUUUUUAUUUUCAAGUCUUACGAUUUUAAUUCACGCGAACGAUAAGGCCU
This 526-nucleotide long non-coding RNA is filed under the name Vigna radiata. RNAcentral's name for it is "long non-coding RNA (VRAD_LNC002138)". The record is from RNAcentral. Lineage: Eukaryota; Viridiplantae; Streptophyta; Magnoliopsida; Fabales; Fabaceae.